CCGGCUGGACACUCCCCUGGCUUCGCGGCUCACCUCUCACCUGGCUAGGGAACUCCUGACACCAAGGGGGACCCCGGGAUGAGGGCGUUGGAGGGUGAAAGACUGGGUCUCAGCUCAGCCAAUCAAGAGCGUAGUUCUGAAGAAGCCCAGUUGCGGGAAAGGAGUGAAUGUGGCGGCCCCCAGAGGUGCGCCCAGCUGCUCCUCCGUCUGUGGGCUUUUCCCACGGCCUUCUCAGGAGCGCCGCCCAGCAGCUCCGCUGGAAGUGGUAGUGGGGGCAGUGCAGACGCUGAGUCUUCUGGGGCUAGGCCUGUCUAGCGCUGGGAAUACAGCCCAAGCAAGGAGCUGGAGUGUCUGUCCUCCACAAGUGUCCUCACACAACUGUCCUCAAGUAUCCUUGGGCUCACAGUUUAAGCCGUCUUCAGCUGGAGCUCCAGCAUCACCGAUGAGUGGGCCUGCCCUUUCUUCCCAAACUCAGAGAACUGGAAUGGGUUUCCUUACCUGGGACCUGCAGUUGACUGGGGAAUGGAAUCCAGGAUUCUGAGUGCAGAAGUUUCCAGAUUCAGGAUGACAUCAGAGAAGCCCAGUGUUCCAGGUCAGAGCCUUACUCUCCCUGCAGGCUCCCCACCUCUGUCCACCAGAGGAUUUCCUGUCGCGUCUGUUUGCUUAUUGCUUCUCAGAUAAGUUUUCAUUUGAAACAGUGGUCUGAGGCUCUAAAUCAUUUGAAAGUCUUCUCUCCCAGUGUUCAGACAAUUCCCCUGGUUCUAACAUUUGGUGAUUCUGCAAGAAGCCUUCAUGCUAGGGCAAACAACUCUCCCACUUUGCCCAGCGCCGUGGGGUUUCUGGACAUGGGACUUCUAGUGCUGAAAGUCCCAGGAAAACCAGGCCAAUUGUUCAUCCUCUCACAUUCUCACUUGAGUAGCUUAUAUUUUGAGCCAUGCUUGUUUAGAGAAGGGAAAGACACCAUUUAGAAAGCCCCUUCAAUGCCUAAGUGUCAAGAAAAAUGGGAUCCAUCACCUAGUCGAAUAGUAACACUGGAUGAGAAGGGAGGGAAGCUGGUGCCCAUAUGUUUUGAAAAAGCAGCAUUUACUUUAACUUUGAAAUCUCAGAGCAGUCCCCAGGCAGGAUGGGAAGCCAAUGGGGCCAGGGCUGGUGCAGCUGAUGGGAUCUGAAGGGAAAGAAGAGCUUUUAAAAAGGAGAAUUUCACACUGAAUCUCUUAAUCUGUUUUACAGACUCAUAAAAUCUUAAUAUAGCCCCGAGACUGUCAUGUUUACAGACAGUGCAGCAAAGGCAGUGGCUUGGAGUGUGACCAGAGAGUUUGCAGAACAAACGCACCAGGGAGGGGCUUGGAUGGAAAUAACCAAGCGCUCUCCCCGCAGGGUAAGGCAGGACAGCCGGGCAGCCCCCGUCUGGUUCCCCCAACUGUGAGCAGAACGCUGGGCUACAAUCUAGGCUGAAGCUUCAGUGUACUGGCUUUUAGCAAAAAGCCCCCAUACUGCUCCUGGGGCAGAGGAUGGUAAGAUGCCAACUCCUGACACAUCCAUGACAGUGUGUGAUGCAGGUGGAGCUCCAGUCCAGUGGACACACCUGUGAUAGAUUUGAGAACGCCUGGAGGUUGGAGGUUGCUGAGAACCCAGUGUUGCUAAGAGGGUCACAGGCACUCAGAAGACAGGGAGGUUCCGGUGGGCUUCCUGGAGAGGGGCCCUGGGCUGGGCUCCACAGCAUCUGGGAAGGCAGAGGGCAUUUCUGGGGGAGAGGGCAUGAGCAAGUACGGGGAGGCUGGAUGGGCACAGCACAGGUGAGGGCAGCAGAGGCAGCACCUGGAGAGAGGGCUUUUGUUGGGGGAACGGUGAGAGAUAAGCUCACCCUAGUCCUGGCUUUGGAGAUGAGAAGAAGAAACAAAAAUGAAGCAAAAUACUUGUCACUGUAGAGGAGCUUACAGUCCAGACGACCUGGGAGAAAUGAAUUUGAAAACAAAGGAAGAUUUAGGAGCUGCGCCUGUCAAUGUCAAGGUCCAGCCUGAGCCAUGGAAAAAGAAUAGAAUUGGUUUCCCUGGUCUAAGACUAAAUGUGAAAAGUAAAGAAAAUAUGGCGUCAGGAAGACAGAAGAAGCUGGACAGAAAGAGAUCAAGAUUUAACUGGUUAUGCUGUAGACCAUGGCAGAUCGUAACAGAAGACAAAGCCCUUAAAAGGACACAAUUGGAAGCACUGGAUAUAUUACAAGGCUUUGGCACAGAAACCUCAGGAUAUUCAGGGACCUCAAGAAGAGAGGAAUUCACUCAAAUCUAAAUGUAACAGAUGAAGCAUGAUGGUAGGUCAUUGGUUUGGCUUCAUAUCCUAAAGAGGCUUUCAGAAGUCUAAUCUGAGGUUCCUUACCAAAGAAAUGAAACUAUCCUCAUUAAAGGCCUGAUGGCUCACACCAUCCAGGAGAUCUCCUCUGCUACCAACUCCCAGCAGCUGAUUCAGCGGUCCUUCAUGAACAAUAGGCAACUGAACAAGAAAAUGAGUUUAUAUUGUUCAAAAGAAAGAAGAAUGCCUCUUUUUUCCCUUGAACAAGGGAGCAAGAAAAAAGCAAAGCAGGAAAGGGAUGUAAGAAAGAGUGAGAUGAAUAACACACUUCCAAGAGGGAGGGCUCAAAGAAGGAAAAGGAAAGAUCAAAUGAGUUCCUUAUAUCCCAAAAGAAACUGCAGACGCAACGGACCAACAAACUGAGCUCAACUGAACUCUGUAAGUUUCAAGCAGAGAUUCUGUGACAACAGAGAGAUGAAAGGCAAGUUGAGGAAACAAAUGGAAGAAAAAGAUAAAACAUUACAGUGACGGGAACCACGUUCAAAGCCACACAACCCUGAAAGCACAAGUUUGACAAAAUUGUGCAAAACAAACUGGCACAAAAAACAUGCAAGAUUGAUCGUAAAGAAGAUGUAAAUGGCAGGCAAAGGGCAACUGGUUUUUCCAAGAAGAGAACAGAAUGGAUGAAACUGAAAAGGCAUUCAAGGAACCAUGGGAAGCUGACUUUUCAGAAGGAGGACAUGGACUUCCAAUUCAACUGAGCACGUUGUAUCCCAGAAAGAGAAACAUAGACAGAGUGACCCAUGCUGAAGCAUAACUAUGGUUAGCUUCUGAACACAGUGACAAAGGCAGAAUCCUAUCAACCAAAAAGCCAAAGGAAACCAAAGCACAAAUUCCCCCACAGCAUUCAGCACCCGAGGAUGGUGGCCACAAUCUACAGUUUGGGGGAAAGGAAAUGUGGAUCAGCAGACCCUGGCACGUAUAAAGACCACACACAGAUGGCUUUACACGUGUGGGCACUCAGGGCGGACAGUUCCUAAAAGCCGUUUUUGACAGAACACUGAGGAAUCAAACUGUAGAUCUUAGGAACAAGGAACUGUGCUGAAAACGAAUGACAGUGAACACAGAAUCCAUUCUAUUUUGGAAUUAAGACCCCAGUAACUAGUGAAAUUGUGUUAUAAAACAGAGAGUAACUCUUAUAAACAUGGCCGGUGUAAAUCAUGAUGUCAUCACCAAAUCGGAAAAGGAGGUGAGGGAACGCUGGCACUUCCCUCAUCUUUCAGAGCAGGAAGUAAAACUUGAAACAUGCAGUCAUAUCAAAAUCCAAUAACCUUGAAUAAUCACUCUUUGUCUACCCUUUUCUCCCCUUGACUUUGAAGGGAUCAUUUGGUCCUUUUUAUAUUGCUUGAAUUUGUUUUUUUCAUUGAU
This 3714-nucleotide long non-coding RNA is filed under the name Homo sapiens (human). RNAcentral describes it as "long non-coding RNA NONHSAT157644.1". The record is from RNAcentral. Lineage: Eukaryota; Metazoa; Chordata; Mammalia; Primates; Hominidae.